CACGUAGUUAGCCGGUGCUUAUUCUUACGGUACCGUCAUUAGCCCCAGGUAUUAACCAGGACCGUUUCGUUCCGUACAAAAGCAGUUUACAACCCGAAGGCCUUCUUCCUGCACGCGGCAUUGCUGGAUCAGGCUUGCGCCCAUUGUCCAAAAUUCCCCACUGCUGCCUCCCGUAGGAGUCUGGGCCGUGUCUCAGUCCCAGUGUGGCUGGUCGUCCUCUCAGACCAGCUACAGAUCGUUGGCUUGGUGAGCCUUUACCCCACCAACUACCUAAUCUGACAUCGGCCGCUCCAAUCGCGCGAGGCCUUUCGGUCCCCCGCUUUCAUCCACAGAUCGUAUGCGGUAUUAGCGCAGCUUUCGCUGCGUUAUCCCCCACGACUGGGCACGUUCCGAUGCAUUACUCACCCGUUCGCCACUCGUCAGCACCUUGCGGCCUGUUACCGUUCGACUUGCAUGUGUAAAGCAUGUCGCCAGCGUUCAAUCUGAGCCAGGAUCAAAC
RNAcentral lists this ribosomal RNA (499 nucleotides) under uncultured Hydrogenophaga sp. RNAcentral's name for it is "partial 16S ribosomal RNA". Lineage: Bacteria; Pseudomonadati; Pseudomonadota; Betaproteobacteria; Burkholderiales; Comamonadaceae. The record is from RNAcentral.